Molecule: long non-coding RNA, 4285 nt
Filed under: Apis mellifera (honey bee)
Lineage: Eukaryota; Metazoa; Arthropoda; Insecta; Hymenoptera; Apidae
Description: uncharacterized LOC102655014, transcript variant X2
Source: RNAcentral
AACGGGUAUAGGAUUAAUUACACAGGAUUAAAAGGGAAGAUAUUAAUUGUUUGCUCUUCAUCUACAUAUUGUGGGAAAGGGGAAAAAUUUCUGCAAACAUUCUCCCAUUAACAUUUCAUUAUUUUUAUGGAGCAAAUGAUGUAACAAAACGGGUAAACGUUAAACGAUGGAUCGAAAUUCCUGUAAAAUUAAUUUGGCGAAAGAAGUUUAUAGAACAAUGGUUUUAAUUCCUUAGAAAAUAACGAACAGUAUUAUUUCGUUUGGAUAUAUUCUCAUUGUAUAAGAGAAUUCGUCGUAAAAAAAUUUACAAUCGUUCGAAAAAUAAAAAAUACAAGAUCUAAAUUUAUUCAGAUCUGACGAAUUAUAAAAUUUAUUUCAUUUAAAAAAAAUUACUUUAUUCGAGUCUCAUCUUUGAACUCGUAAUUACAAACAGACUGGAAAUAAAUUGAUGUCAAAUAUUAAAUUUAACGCGUAAUUACUACACGCAUCUCGACAAAUUAAUUUUAAUUGCCUUCUAACGCGAUACAUUUAAGAUACUUGAAUCACGUUUUGGUUCGAAAGUGCGCAUACGCACAGUUAAAAAUCACUUUCAACCAGAAUUCGAAAUUAAACUUCUCCACUCCUCCUUUAUAACCAACUUUUUUACACACCGUUGUAACUCAAUCUUUUUUCCAAAAAAAUCCAGAGUAUACUUCAUAGAGAAAAAAAAGUUGCUUGCUAAUACAUAAUUCCAUCGAAUUCUUCUCACUUUCUCGCCUCGUCCGAUAAACCAAUCCAACAAAUCCAUUGUACAAAUGAUAACUCAACACGAAUAUUCGCCAAUUAUCACCGACAUUUUUUACAACGAUUACUCGUUCGACAUUCAAUAGUCAGAUUUUUUUAUUAUUUCUUGCUCGUUUCAACGACAACCAUUCAUGCUCAUUCGUUUCAAAGCGAAGCACAAGUGAAUGCACCGAUUCAAGUCAGCAAUCCGAUACAAAUCGCUGAUCUCACGAUACACCGUAAUAAUAAGUACAAAGAGCGGGAUAGAUAGAUAGAUAACGACGAUAAACGAUAACAUCGAAUAAAUAUUGGUUCGAAUAAUCCGUCACUUGGCUUGAUGUGAAUUAUCCCCCUCCCCCUCCCCACCCUCGCGUUAAGAGCGAAAUUAAACAAGUUCUCCAUCUAUGUACAGUAUAGUAUCGACAUCCAGCUGACAAACGGCUCGUUAUUCAAUCAUAGAAAACCGCAUCAAAGUUGGCGUACGUACGUGGAGAGCAACGACCGGUUAACAAUCGUACCCGCGGCUCGGAUAAUCGUUGAAUUGGAUCGUCGAUCGGUCGUCGGGCUUCCCGGACGCUUCUCAGAAAACUCGACUGCUCGUUCAACCGGCGAAAACGCAUCGUACCAAUAACCUCGGCGUGUGCACGUCCGGUACCGUGGUAACCACGCUUGCUCCGAGCAAGUAAUCACGCUCACGCGUGGGUGAUCGGACCACGUGUCCAACACAUUGACGCAGGCUACGCGAUUCCACAAUGGGGCUAUUAACUCUAUGUAAUAGUAAUACGCUUGGGGUCCUUGAUUUUAUUUCGGUUUAAAGACGCUCGUUUAACGAAAACGAAAUUAAAUUCUGAUAUCGAUUAUCGGGUAGGUAUAAUUAUAUAUUUGGUCAACGAAAUGAUGUAUCGGGGUUAUUGUAAAAAUUGUAUAAUUUUUUUGAAUAUGUAAUUAUAUAGGUUAAAACCGUAUAUCUGAAUAAAAAGGUAUAUCUGAAUAAACACGGGAGGAAGACACGCUAUUUCAUAAAUAUUUAUAUUUAAUGAGCGUUCAUUAAUUUCACGAUAUACUUUCCAAAAAAUGUUAUUAAUUGAUUAUUAAUUAAAAAGAUACAAUUUUAUUUUCUAUCAUAAAUUGGUAUAUCGAUAUCAAUACAUCAUAGACUAUGUGUAUUAUUAAAUCUACCUGGCACAUCAUAAUUUUAAAACCCAGAUUGCAAAUCAAUUAUUAAAAAAGUUAAAUUUGCAAGUCAUGAAAGAAUAUUAUACUAUAAUAUCACGUUAACGAAGACUUAAUUACACAUCAGGAAUUAACAUAAUUAUAAGUAUACAUUUAGCUACACUUUUGCGCAAAAGUCUUAAUCUUUUUAUUUGAAAAAAAAGAUGAAUAUAAACGUUUAUUUCAUAAAUUCCUUAUUCUAAAGUGGUACGUAACAUUCUUACAUUAAGCCAAUAACAUCUCAACUUCUUAAACAGGGAAAAAUCUUUCCUAAUUAUUCCUUCAUUAUAAUCUCAUAAACAUAUUUUUCUAUUCUCUAAAAGAAAAUACAUAGAUAUUUUUUUCUUUCAUCUACUUUGGAAUACAUAUAUCGAUUCUUUAAACCAUUGAACGAAUUAUUAUCAAAACCAAUAAAGACACUCAAAGGGUUAAGACAAUUUAUGCGCAAGACAGAGGAUUCGAGUCGAAUCGAUGGAUCGAUCCACGUCGAGUGUUGCACGAUUCGCGCGGUAAAUUCUCUCCGUACACGUGGGUGGCGGAUUAGGCGGGAAGAUAGCGUGGCGGUGAUCCGUAAAAGGCGCCGACAAAGUCGCGUGCCCGGGAGAAACGUGAUGAAAGCGAUACCGGGUGGAUCCGGCGGAAGCGCGCCACUUCGCCUUCUGUUGUUCUCCUGUGUCUGGCGAAUCUGCGGCCAGAGAAACAAGGCGACGGGGAGGUAUAUAGAUAGCUUUGUGGGAAUAAAGAACGGUAAAAGAGUGCACCGAGUUUUUGUUAACCGAAUCCUUUGAUGGAAAAGAGUUUGGUGUCUGGUUUUAAUUCGAAGGGUAAUAUCAAAGUCGUUUCCACGAGGAAUAACUUUGAAAAAGUUAGUCUUUGCGUCUUCUCUUUUGUGGUGGAAGAACUGUGUCGAAUUGUGUGAUUUUAAUUUUGCACAUGGGCAAUAUCGAAUCGUUGCACGAAGAAUAAUUUCGAAAGGUAUCUCUGUGAUCAAAUUAAUUUUUUUUUUCGAUGGAGGAGACUUUGAUCGAGUAUUUGUUUUGGAUAAUAUCGUUGCUCGAGGAAUAAGGAAAAGAAUUUUGAAAUUCAAAUUGCAAAAUAAGAGAUAAGCUGUGACCUCAUAAGACGAAGUGGAUUGAAAUUAUUAUAUUAAACGGCCGUGAGGAAUGUCAUUUGUAAAUUUCAAAGAGUAUUCGUAGGUGGAUAGAAAAUUCAGUGAAUACUUGAUUCAUAUUUCAUUAUUGACAUAGAUACGAAAUAUGUGGCGAAUUAAUUUACGUAGGAAGUAGAGUAAGAAAUAUGAUGAUGAAGAAAUAACAAAAUAUAAAAGGAACAUUUCGUAUAAUUCAAUCUUCGAAAUGUUAAAAAAAUUUUUUUGUUUCAUUUAAUUUUAUAUAAUGAUAUACGAUCUGAAAUAUUAUUGAACGUUAUUGAGAUUGAUCGAUCAGGUAAUUAGAAAAGUGUCGGUUGGGAAGGCAAGCUUCUUGAAGAAUUACACGCCUGCUCUAAUUAAGGGUUUUCCUUCUUCGCAAGGGUAGUGAAAAGAUGCUUUUAAAAAAUCAGCACGGUGAAUGCAACGAGCGAACUGGACCGCAUCAACGAAACGUUUCCUUGUUGAAAUUCUCGGCUUUGUGCCGACUUUCAUACAAGAAACUUCUUCUACACAGACGAUAUAUAAAGUAAACUCACAGCGAUGAAUGUACAGGUCAAAUAUGAAAAUUUUAAAACACGUAAGUUGUUCGGUAUUCGACGACAAUUAUAGCGUAAGUCGAUCCAUUUUUCGUAGGAGAAAAAUAUUUCUUUAACUUUAACUUUUCAUUAAAUAUUAAUUUUAAUAUUUUUAAUAUUUUUUUACAAUUAUUCGUAAAAUAUUGAGAAUUAUCAAGUCUAAAAACGGUGAUAAAAAUUUGAAACGAUCUAGGGAAAACGUGAUUUGAAUAAUAAAAGAAUUACUUGUAAAACACCCGAUCGUAGGAGUUGAUGUUUUAACCAUGUUGACUGGUUGCUAACUCGAUUCUUAAUAUAUUCACCUUCUAAAGAUCUGGGGAAUCUCUUCACGAGACAAAAGAAGAACUCGCUGCGUAUGAAUAAAAGUUAAAUGAAAGUACGAAAGUUGAUUCAAGAAGAUGUCUCUUUAAGACGAAAAAAAUAAAUCUUUAAGAUUCGCUAUCGAUUCCUUUAAAAUCUUAAACAAUUAAACCUGCAAUUAAAAAAAUUAAAUCGUUUAAUUUAACACAAAGCAUUCGAUUUAAUUCCGUUCCAAAUCCAAUUUAAUUUUACACGAUAAAUUUCAGAAAUCAAAAUGUUUAAUAGU